AGAAGCUUGAUAACAAGAGAAGACAGAGAAAAUGGAUAACAUCACAGCAAGCGAAGUUGCAGGUUUGGGAGUUGGCACGCUUCUCCUUUGUGCCACCAUUGCUGCCCCCAAAAUCGAUGCUUUCUUCUCUUCUUCUCAGCGCAGUGCACUGGGGAUGUGCAGGCGAUGUGGCAAUCUGAGGAGAUUAGCUUGUUCUAGAUGUAAAGGAACUGGCUCAGUCAAAGAAGGCGGAAUACUAAGACUCGGUAGUAACCUCAUAGAUGACUUGUAUGAAAAUCUUGGUUAUCAAUCAAAGGUCAAGCAGAUAUCUUGUGUAAAAUGUCAAGCCAGAGGUUACUUUUCAUGUCCUGAAUGUUCUAAACAAUAAUCAAUGUGAUUUUAUUUAUCUCCUUGCCCUAUAAAAUUGUGACAAGAAAACCUCACAGAUGGUGGUAUGUAACAGUAGUUUUAUCCUUAAUACCUUGUUGCAAGAACAGAUGCAUGAUCAAGAUGCUGCUUGUUAAUCAGGAUUAGUGGGAGCACACCAUUAUAUUGAUGAAUUUGUUCUGUCAUUGGGCCACAUGUCAAAUUGAAAAUGAUGUCUUACAAGAAUAAAGCUAGAGUCAAGUGGUGAGUUCACUGUUUGCUUAAACAAGUGUUGGGGAUUUGAAUCUCGUAUUGUGUAUGUAACAAUCCAUUGGCCAGUAGUAGAUCUUUAAAUAGAAUUUAGAUUUGCAGCAAAUUAGUCUUUUGAUCUGUUGGAUUGAGGAAUACUAUUGGGGAAAAAAAAAAAAGCUAGAUGGAUGCCACUUUAAAACAAAAUUAAUAGAUGUGAAGAUUCUAUUGAGGUGACCCCUAUCAUUUAG
Arachis stenosperma is the source of this 845-nucleotide RNA transcript. RefSeq lists it as uncharacterized. The transcript has 3 exons. The record is from RefSeq and is a predicted model, not a curated record. Lineage: Eukaryota; Viridiplantae; Streptophyta; Magnoliopsida; Fabales; Fabaceae.